RNAcentral lists this long non-coding RNA (1065 nucleotides) under Astyanax mexicanus (Mexican tetra). Its description in RNAcentral is "lncRNA (ENSAMXG00005016256.1)". The record is from RNAcentral. Lineage: Eukaryota; Metazoa; Chordata; Actinopteri; Characiformes; Acestrorhamphidae.
CGUGUGUGUGAGCUCUACAGUGAGACGCAGCUGGAGUGUGACGCACAUAGACGUGCCACACCGGGACCAGGACAGCGAACACAACCGCCACGGCGGAGACGCCGGCAGCAGCCGGGAUGGCGGCAGUGAUGUCAAUACAGGGGACGGGUCAGCGAAGGCUGUCUCUGUCACCACGGAAACCCCAGCCGUGCUCCACCUCCGGUCUGAACUGAGCAUUACGAUGUCAUCUGUAGUCCUGUCCUCCAAUGAGAAUGCUGGAUAGUGCUUUUUUCUGGAAUCUCUCACUUGUCCACUUCUCCAUGUGUCCAUCCAUCCACCCAUCCCUCCAUCCGUGCACUCAUCUGUGUGUCCAUUCAUCCACCUGUGGGUAUUGCUCCAACUGUCUGUGGCAUAAGUUGUAAAAAAUUGCACUCAACUCCAGUGUCAGCUGGCUUCCUCUUUUAGACACAGGUUCUGGCGGCCCACCUCCUUCCCCACCACCUCCGGGUUGGUCCCAUUUGGAUGCCCAGGGGGAUGGCUCCACCCUGUCUUCCAUGUAUGACAAGAUCUGCAGUAUCAAGUCCAGACGUAUCAAGGCUUGGGCUGAUGAGAGGACCUACAUCAAAGACUUUAUCCAAAAACAGUUUUUAAGUAAUUUCUUUUUUAAUAUACUUGUAUAUUUUUCAAUAUUAAAUAUUUAAAUAUUUAAUCACAUUUGCUUCAGGAGUCAUAAUAGUAGAAAGAUGCAAUCAAACGACAGCUAAAUAAUUAACCAAAACACACUGCCAAAACUACAAAGGAGUUCAUCAGAGGUGAGAAGUGGAAAGUUUUAGACUGGCCUAGUCAAUCUCCAGUUUUAUAGACCUUAUAUACUCCCCAUAGAUCAGGGGUCAACAAUUAAGUUUGGCCGUGAGCCAGAUAUUUUCCAAGCCUGUUUUGGAAAAUUAAGUGUAAUGGGUUGAAGUGCUACAGACUAGAAGUUCUCCAGGCCAGAGGGUUGUUGAACCCAAUUGCAGUACAGUUGAUCUCAAGCAGGAAAACCCAAGAAAAAAGGAAAAAAUAAAUACAUAAACACACCGCUCCUCA